GGCAUGGUGGUGCAGUGGUUAGCACUGUCGCCUAACAGCAAGGUUAUGGGUUCAAAUCCGGCCUGGGGCC
This is a non-coding RNA of Gymnothorax javanicus (giant moray), 70 nucleotides long. NCBI's taxonomy places the organism in Eukaryota, Metazoa, Chordata, Actinopteri, Anguilliformes, Muraenidae. The record is from the annotation of a GenBank genome assembly.